This is a long non-coding RNA of Choloepus didactylus (southern two-toed sloth), 1388 nucleotides long. RefSeq lists it as uncharacterized. The transcript has 4 exons. Lineage: Eukaryota; Metazoa; Chordata; Mammalia; Pilosa; Megalonychidae. The record is from RefSeq and is a predicted model, not a curated record.
CCCAGUGCAACCAAUAAGAAAAUAACUGAAAAAUAUAUUAAAAGAAAUUACAAGAUAAUUAAAAUGGUACACUAGGCAAUACCUAUUGGCAAAAAAGAAGACAGUAAUGAAGGAAUAGAAGAAUAAAAAAGACACAAUGACAUACAGAAAACAAAUAGCAAAAUGGCAGACAUCAAUCAUACAUUAUCAAAAACCUUAUGUGUUCAGCCAUAUUGAGAAGAGUUCUAACAGAGAAUUCAAAAAAGGAUUUUGUAAGUACAUAGAAAAUUAUGCAAAUAACAAAAGGUAAUUAACACCAAGAAAAAUGAAAUUUGUGUAAGGAAUGGCAUGUAAUUCAUCUUUGAGAAAUAUUUAUGUAAUCCUAGUAAUGUAAACCCCUGUACAAUGAGCCAAACUUGUGGUCUUCUGAAAGAAGAAGUGGAAGGAUGUGUGAAUGUACAUCUGUGUGUGUGGGUGGAGAAAGAUAAGAGAAAUAAACAUUUAUCUUCCUAAACAGCGGGCCCAUGAAUAUAAAAAAUGGAAACACCAAAUACAGCUAAGAGACUUGAAGUGGUUGCCUUUGUGUCGGUCAGAAAAGAGACAUCCGUUACCACCUCCAGGAGUGGGGACCUCACUGCAUGAGGGGAGCAAAAGGCUUAACAACGAAUGGCACCAGGAACAACAGCCCCAGGGACCCACUCUCCUCAGGGUCUGCAGGUGUGGGGUGUCACCAGCAAAACCCCGACUCCCACAGGCACUGGAUACAGCAGCAUUUAUUCACGUGGAGGAAAGUCAGAGCAAGGUCAGCUUCACUAGCGGGAGUCAGCCCCCCAGGGCCAGCAAGUAUCAAUCUGCAGUGAAACAGCAGGUGAAGGUGACUGGAGUGUUAUCAAUGCUGAAAUGUUGAAGCUCUGUGGCUUUUCUCUCUCUGGUAGGAUAAGAGGAUGAUAAAGGGACCCCAGCCAACUACCUCAGAUCUCAAACUCUCCCUCAGCACCAAACUCUUCUGGUAACCCAACUCUACAAAACAAACCAAGAAAGAGAAUUCACUGGGUCCAUACCUAGCCCAGGCUGAAGCGGAGAGGCUGUGGAAAAAAUGAAUGAGGAGGGAAUAGGAAAUCUUCUCCACCCUGCGACAGAGCCAGUGGAGGAAAAGGGGGGAAAGGUGGUUCCAGUGUGGACAUGUGACCCAAACCAGAGCAACCAGUCUUCUCUAAGAUGUUUGUUUAUAGGCAUGAUGAGAGGGUUCUAUUCCUCUGGGAUUGCAAGUCAUAAGGAUCGUGUAGCUUUUCAGCUGCCACAUGUAAAGAUUCUGCCUGAAAAUGAAGCCAACAGAGAAAAAGCAGGGCCAAGAGAUGAUGAGGGAGUGCAGAGGGCUGACAAUGUCCUUCAAGCAUCUGGAUACAACA